UACAAAACUUUGAAUUUUUUGGAUUUAAAACUUUGAAUGUUUGGCGUAUAGCUAUUACACAUUUAUAGUUAUUAAUUGUCGGGCAAUAGCAGCAAAUUGAAGGAUUAUGAAAUAUGAACGAAUAUAUUGACGACUAACUACGUUCCAACUGAGAAAUUUUGCUUAAGCCGCAGCAAAUGAGAAAACUGUAAUCUUUACAUGCCAAUAAAAGGCAAUGCACUCGCCUUGACACUUAUCAACGACUUCAAAGACAAUAUAUUAUUCAAUACUAUAAACACCAGAGGCACACAUAAGACACAAACACAAAAUUACUGCAAACAUAUACCCAUUGGCGAGUUGUACGUAGAUAAAAUUACUUUUCCAGCGCACAAGCCAACAUACACAAAACCUACAAGUUAGUGCUAUUAUAAGCUGAGCAAGUACCAAAUAUAAAGAAAGGUUUGCGUUGAGGAUGAGAAGGUGUUAGGAAUAUCAGAUAUACGUGUAUUUUUUGGAUUUGGUUACAUUUACCAUGCGGCGUUCGCUAUUGCGGCCACUACUGGCGCCAUUGCCACCGCCACCGCCGCCGCCACUUGGGCUGUAAGAAGUUGAAUUCCAUGGAUACAUGCCGACCGCCGUUGUGCCAGUUGUGGUUGUAAAAUUAACUUACUGGAUAUGUGUGUUUAUUGGGUGGAUAUUUAAUUUGUGAAUGCAACGUUUUCCGCUAUUUGUGAUACUUCGCAAAUGUGUUGAAAAUUUGUAAACUUUUGUGGAAAAAAAACAAAUAAUGAUUUUGGGUAAAUUUAGUUUGCGCUUUAACUCAAUAGUUAUUGGUAAUAUGCUAUAAUCAUCACACUUAUGUACUGUGGGCAAAAAGUUCAUCAGUGCGGUGGGUGUUGGUUAAUCUCUUUAGAAAACCUUUUUUAUAAGCACUGCUUCCGGCACUACGGCUAAUGCGCUCACACCGCACAAUUACACACUCUGCCUUUUCUUAUUUUAUUUUUUAUGCAAAUGCAACUUCCGAUGCACUGAUUUUUUUCACAACAUUUUAAUUGCCUCAACCUCCACCGCCUUUCAUUUGGAAGUGUAGCUGCUUACGCUCAACGCUGCACACUUACCAUAAUAUAAUCGCCUCUGUGUGUUGUUAUGUUUUAAUGUAGCGUAAAGCCUGGUUUUUUAUUAUUAAUAUUUCAAAACACACAAUUGUAUUUCGUUUAACUAUUUAUAAUUAAUUACAAAAUUUUCUGCAGCA
This is a long non-coding RNA of Zeugodacus cucurbitae (melon fly), 1231 nucleotides long. RefSeq lists it as uncharacterized. The record is from RefSeq and is a predicted model, not a curated record. The transcript has 2 exons. Lineage: Eukaryota; Metazoa; Arthropoda; Insecta; Diptera; Tephritidae.